Molecule: ribosomal RNA, 497 nt
Filed under: uncultured bacterium
Lineage: Bacteria
Description: partial 16S ribosomal RNA
Rfam family: Bacterial small subunit ribosomal RNA
Source: RNAcentral
GACGAACGCUGGCGGCGUGCCUAAUACAUGCAAGUAGAACGCUGAAGAGAGGAGCUUGCUCUUCUUGGAUGAGUUGCGAACGGGUGAGUAACGCGUAGGUAACCUGCCUUGUAGCGGGGGAUAACUAUUGGAAACGAUAGCUAAUACCGCAUAACAAUGGAUGACACAUGUCAUUUAUUUGAAAGGGGCAAUUGUUCCACUACAAGAUGGACCUGCGUUGUAUUAGCUAGUAGGUGAGGUAAUGGCUCACCGAGGCGACGAUACAUAGCCGACCUGAGAGGGUGAUCGGCCACCCUGGGACUGAGACACGGCCCAGACUCCUACGGGAGGCAGCAGUAGGGAAUCUUCGGCAAUGGGGACAACCCUGACCGAGCAACGCCGCGUGAGUGAAGAAGGUUUUCGGAUCGUAAAGCUCUGUUGUAAGUCAAGAACGGGUGUGAGAGUGGAAAGUUCACACUGUGACGGUAGCUUACCAGAAAGGGACGGCUAACUACGUG